GUAGUACUCCCUCCGUCCGGAAAUAAUUAUCAUCAAAAUAAAUAAAAGAGGAUGUAUCUAGACAUAUAUUAAUUCUACAUACAUCCCUUUUUAUCCAUUUUGAUGACAAGUAUUUUCGGACGGAGGGAGUAAUAG
This is a non-coding RNA of Triticum aestivum (bread wheat), 135 nucleotides long. The record is from Rfam. Lineage: Eukaryota; Viridiplantae; Streptophyta; Magnoliopsida; Poales; Poaceae.